This is a long non-coding RNA of Anolis carolinensis (green anole), 10337 nucleotides long. RefSeq lists it as uncharacterized. The record is from RefSeq and is a predicted model, not a curated record. The transcript is spliced from 2 exons. Lineage: Eukaryota; Metazoa; Chordata; Lepidosauria; Squamata; Anolidae.
UCCCUUUUGUUCGCCGUGGUUGAGGGAAAGAGAGAGAGAGCAGGGAUUUUGUGGCGUCACUUCCGGGGAAGGGUAGGAUAGGGGCGAAAAAGGGAUCUGGGAGUUCGUCGGAAUGGAAACUGGUUUUUGGAGUCUUGAAAUAAUACAAAAUAACGUGUGCUGAUCUUGGAAUAUUUAAACGGUGUUUGUGUGAGUUUAUAACAGGCCUGGGCAAACUUGGCCCCUCUAGGUGGGCUGUCGGGAAUUUUGGGAGUUGAAGUUCAAAACACCUGGAGGGGCCAAGUUUGACCAGGCCUGAUUUGUAAUAUAUGUCAUGGUUUUAUUAUUAUAUAUUGCUAUAAUUUUCUCUAUUUAUUAUACUUCUACCCAGGGCCGUAGCCAGAAAAAAAAUUCGGAGGGGUUUUUGAAAAUUUGGGGGGGGGGGGGGGGGGAUUGAACCCCUAACCCCCCCCCCCCCCCCUCCGCUACAGACCUGUCAAUAUCUGCUUGAGAUAGUGCCUGGAGGGACUCUUAAUUUUUUGAGUCUCAUAGACUUAGCAUGGGGAUUUGGUUAACCAGUUAAAAAUCAUGAGUAAACCAGAUUUUUUUUUAACCUGAAAAUUUUCGGGGAUGGUUUGAAACCCCCCCCCCCCCCCCCAAACCCGGCUACAGGCUUGCUUCUACCUUGCUCUUCUCACCCCGAAGGGGACUCAGAGCAGCUUACAGUUUGGCCACUUACGUGCCACAUUGCAAAUACAAGGAGUAGAAUAAAUAUAAUACAAUAGGAAUCAAAGCACAUUUAACAUAAAAUGCAGGACAAAAAUCUUGCAAAGCAGAAUAAUGACCAGAAAUAAGAUAUAAAUAAAUCUUAAGCAUUAGAAACAUUUAUAUUAUGGAUUGAUGAUAAUAAAUGGAAGCUCUUACGUGUGCCCACGGCCCAGAAUCACCUGCAGAACAAGAACAUGCCACUCAGGUUUGCAGAACAAAAACACAGAAACUUUACAGAUUCCAAGAGCUCAAAAAACAGUAGUAUUUACAAUGAUCCCUUUGAUUACUUACAGAAGUCUACAGUCAUAGUCCUUUCUCAGUCCACAAAUCUGCUUCAGAGAUGAAUACAGUACUGGUUCUCCUUAUUUUUUUCAGCAGCAAACAGGCAUCAAAAUAGCAAGGCCUCUGAGUACACUCCUAUCUUCACUAGCAGCACUGAAAACUUUUCCAAACUGGUUCUGCAGCAGCAGAACAGAAACAGCAUCAAAUCAAUCAUUUUCCAGUUAACAUACACAGCACAGUGCUUUUUGCAAAUCAUGACAAAAGAGACAAAGCGGUUUACAGUUUGGCCACUUCAGUGCCACACUGCAAAUACACAGCAUAUAAUAAAUAUAAUACAACACAAAUCUAUGCGUAUUUAACAUAAAAUUCAAGAUAAAAAUCACACAAAGCAUAAUCACAUCCAGAAAUAAGAUAUAAAUAAAUCUUAAGCAUUAAAAAACAUUUAAAACCAAUUUCAAUUAUUGUGGAGACUCAUCAAUUAAACAGUAUAUUUUGCUUAAGCCCAGUCAUCAGUGAUAAACAGGAGCCAGAGAGAAAAUUAAGAGAAGUCUCAACAAAAUAAAUAAACAAAUUCUGAAACAAAACAAUAACAAAAGUCCCCACUAAAACCCAGAAGGAACAGAGUUGAAAGUUGAGCAUUAACAGAGAAGUCAGUGGCCCCAAACCAAGCCAACUCCAGUUUCAGUACUAAGUUGAUGGUCGGGGGGGGGGGGGGUAGUAGCUAGCAACGAGGUUAUGGCAGAGUAAUGGGAAAUGAUGGGGAAGGUAGGGCGGCUCUGUUGCACCAACCUCUCCAGUCAGUGCUGGGCAGUGGGAGGGAAGGCCGUGUGGAGCGCAGCUCAGGGAAGCCGCCAAUUGGGUCGCAGGACUCGUUGCUCUCACCGGUGGUCGGGUCUGUGUGAGACCACAGUGCUGGGCAGCUGAUGGAAAAGGCCGCUCCGGAGCAGUUAAAGAUGACUGGAGGGUCUCCCAGAGGCUGUUGGAGAGUUCCUGAUUGAUAGACUGACUCCCUCCCAGUCAGCGGCCAGUGGAAUGGCAGUUAAAGAUGGUUUUACUGAAAGAGGAGGAGGAGGGAGAAGAUGGGGGCCGCCUCGCCUGAGGCCUGGUCUGUGUUUGUGAGGCGGGAAGGCGUCGGAUGGUGCAGAGAACGGAGAGACUGAGAGAGAUAGAGAUAUCUGUGUCCCAAAUAUAUCUGUUCAGUGCCUUCUGAGUUGCUCCGUCUUCUGAGUGCCCAGGGGGAAGACUGUCAUCCGGUCUCAGCCAUGGAUUGAAGUUUUGGGUUUUGUCCUGCCACUUUUGGACUCUGGCUUGCUGAGGUGUUCUUGACAUGAGAGAUCUCUGGAGCCACCCCUGCCCUGAUGGGAAACGAACCAGAUUCUAGUAGAUAUUAAGGCAUUUGGAAACCAAAGUACAGUAAGAAAACCAGUCCUCUAGGAAAAAGGAUUCCUCUCAAGGGGCUGAUCUUGCUGAAUUCCUACAUUAACUUUGGAUUGUAGAGUAGAACCAUAGAGUCGGAAGAGACUGCAUGAGGCACCCAUUCCAGGCCUCUGCCGUGCAGGAAAAGUGCAAAGUACCCCUGACAAAUGAACAUCUACCCUCUGUUUAAAAGAUCCCAAAGGAGCCUCCACUACAUUUUGAGGCAGAGAGUUCCACUGCUGAACAGCUCUUACAGUCAGGAAGUUCUUCUUAAUGUUCUGAUGGAAGCUACUUUCCGGUAAUUUGAACCCACUGCUGUGAGUAAUCAGAAAGGAAAAACCAGAAUCAAGUAUCCGUAUUGGAAUUAAAUGUACAUAACAUUGUGGACAUGGAGGAGAAAGCAUAUAAAUGUAUUGAAUGUGGAAAGAGCUUUAGUCAGCAUGGAAACCUGAAGACACAUCAAAGGACUCACACUGGGGAGAAACCCUACCUAUGCCUGGAGUGUGGACAGGGCUUCGCUCGUAGUUCACAUCUAAAAACCCAUCAAAGGACUCACAUUGGGGAGAAACCCUAUAACUGCCUGGAGUGUGGACAGAGCUUCACUCAAAGUUCAGCUCUGCGUAAACAUCAAAGGACUCACACUGGGGAGAAACCCUAUAAAUGCCUGGAGUGUGGACAGAGCUUUACUCAGAGUGGAACUCUAUACUCACAUCAAAGAACUCACACUGGGGAGAAACCCUAUACAUGCCUGGAGUGUGGACAAAGCUUUGCUCAAAGUGGAAACCUAAGUUCACAUCAAAGGAGACCCCAUAAAUGCCUGGAGUGUGGAAUGAACUUCACUAAUAAUAGAAAUCUACGUUUACAUCAAAGAACUCAUACUGCAGAGAAACCCUAUGAAUGCCUGGAAUGUGGCCAGAGCUUUGCUUGUCGUGGAAAUCUACAUUCACAUCAAAGGACUCACACUGGGGAGAAACCAUAGAAAUGCAUGGAGUGUGGACAGAGCUUUUCACGGAAUAACAUUAUACAUAGACAUAAUAGAAUUCACCCUGAAGAGAAUGGUGUUAAUUGACACCAGAGUGUCAUUCUAACAUGUACAAAAGCAACUCUUGCAAAUUAUGGAAAUGCAAGCUCAAAGUUGGGACAUUUCAUCACAUGUGGUGUAUUGUAGAAAGAUUGAACUAAAAUACAUUCCAUUCUGGAAGUAAUUAAGGUUAAAUGAAACUAGAGUUUUACAUGUUGAGAAUGUUGGAUGAUGAAUUAGAAUGAAAACAUGGGUUGUUACUGUGUGAUACUAAAGUAAGAAUAGACUAUACACAGGGAUGGAAGGAAUGUUUUAUUCCAAAGCAAAAAGAAUGGCUUGUGAAGACCUGCAAAUUGGCCAAAACAAACAAUCUGACAACAAUGUGGGCAAAUAUCAGUUGUAAUAUGUAUUAAUUCUAAGAGUGUUAUCAGAAGUAGAAGUGUGGCUAUAUUAUCCAAAGGGAGUAGAAUACUGAGAGAUAAAAAUUAACAGAUAGAAUGAGGCCUUUAGGCACGUCUCCCUGUCUGUUUUCUAGUUCAGUUGUGUGUCUAUGUAGGUAACUGUUUCGUUAGGCUGUUUCUGAUUUAGUUUUGUAUCUCAUGUAGUAGUUGGAUUGUCACCUUGACAUGGUGAGGGGGCUUGCUUGUUCCAAUGAACCUGCGGGCACAACCACUAGAGUCAUGCACUCCCAGGAGUGGCCACAGGGGAGGAUCCAGAUCAAUAAUAAUCCGAAGACCCAAAGACCUCAACGGCGGAGCAGACGGAGGAUAACAUGGUACAUGUUACAACGGCUGUGAAGGUGGAAGAAGGCUGCAACAGACUGAGAAGCCACUCUCGUUGUGUUAAUCAUAUCACUGCUGGGACCCCACUCUGUGAAGACUGUGUGUUGACCGGCCGUGCACCGUCCUCCACACAUUAAAAAAAAUCAUGCACAGGCGUCUUCCAAGAAAUGGAGGACAGUCAUCCUCGAACUACGAGGGAUCGCCUAAGUAAGUAAGUAAGUGAUUUCUUAUAUUUAACAUAGUCUAGAUCCCCAGUAUCCCUAAUUUGCAUCUAUUCCAACUUCCAGUUAAUCUUCUGUUGUCCUAUUUUUUUCAGCUGGUUUUAAAAUAUUCCAGUUCCUCUACCCACCUCCCACUUUUUCCUUUGUCCUCAGCUUAUUUCUGCUGCUGCAAAAACAGUUCAAAUAGAUUAAGUAGUGUUCACUCAAUUAACUCAGCAACAGGGAGUUGAGAGGAGGAGGUGAAGUCAUGCCCUUCCCAGUAGGUCAGUGGUUCUCAAUCUGGGGUCCCCAAAAGUUUUUGGCCUUCAGUUCCCAGAAAAUCUAACAGCUGAUAAACUGGCUGGGAUUUCUGGGAGUUAUAGAUCAAAAACAUCUGGAGACCCCAGGUAGAAAACCACUGCAGUAGGUGGUAGCAAGCAGCUGCUGCCUCUCCUUGUUCAUUUCUUUUCUUCCUCCUUAAUAAUGUUUGUCAUCUUGACUAUCCUCUGAUGUGUCCCAGUUUUCAACUUCUGAAAUGCUGGAGUGUGUACAGCAUGCCUCAAUUUGGAUUUGCAUGCAAAGAACUUCCAUUUCCCUCCUGAUGGUUCUCUCUUCUUCCACUCAUCUCUGUGCUACCAUGUAUACUUCUGCUCUUGUUAGUGGUUAGUGCAGAGCAGCACUCACUAAAAUCGAAACAGUCUCACAGAUGCAAACUUCUGCAAAACAAUGAUAGUUUCUGGAGAAAAGCAGCUGCUGCUACACAGUCAAGCAAUACACAUGUCUCCUAUGUCAAUAUAACAAUAUAAUAAAAUAUAAUACUAAUAUUAUGCUAUACUAAUAAUAUAUAUUGUAUAUACAUAUAAAUAUUGAUAAUAUUAUAAUGUAAUACAAUAUGAUAAUACACUAUUAUAAUUGUAAAUUAUAUGCUACAUGUAAUAUUACUAAUAACAUUACAGUAUAGUGGUAUAGUACAAUAUAGUAAUAUAUAAUGCUUAUAUUGUGCUAUGCUAAUAAUAUAAUACAUUGUGGGCCCCUGGUGGCACAGUGCGUUAAAGCGCUGAGCUGCUGAACUUGCGGACCAAAAGGUGCCAGGUUCAAAUCCGGGGAGCGGGAUGAGCGCCCGCUGUUAGCCCCAGCUCCUGCCAACCUAGCAGUUUGAAAAUAUGCAAAUGUGAGUAGAUCAAUAGGUACAGCUCCAGCGGGAAGGUAACGGCGCUCCAUGCAGCCAUGCCGGCCACAUGACCUUGGAGGUGUCUACGGACAAUGCCGGCUCUUCGGCUUAGAAAUGGAGAUGAGCACCAACCCCCAGAGUCGGUCACGACUGGACUUAACGUCAGGGGAAAACCUUUAUCUUUUUUAUGUACAUAUAACUUGUAAACCUCCCUGAGUCCCCUUCGGGGUGAGAAGGACGGGAUAUAAAUGUCGCAAAUAAAUAAAUAAGGUGACCCAGUGUCACAGAGCAAACAUAAAAAACAAUCCGCUGUUAGGAAAAGCUUGUUCCAUUUGUUCUCAAGUAUGUCCAUUUAAUUGUUUAUUGAAAAAGAUUUUACCCUACCUUUCUAGAAAGAAAAGGAAAAAAAAACACCAGUCUACCACACAUAAUAAUUGAGGUCAGGAUUUACAUUGAAAAUGACAGCUCUUCUUGAUCUUAGACUUGCAAGAAUGAAAACUGGAGAAAGUGUCAGCACCUUUAAUAAUUGUAUAAAAGAAGGGGUUCCCACAGGUGUUGCAUGUUAUGUGACCAUGUGAUGAGGAAGACUUGGUGAUAUUCCCAUUUUUACUCAACCACUAAAAGUACAGGAGUCGCCAGUUCUCAAUCUGACAGAGCUAUUCUGCUGAUCACAAUAUGUCCAUAGUGAAUACAACUGGAGAAUGCCAUCUGCAUACUCUUUUGUCUUCCACCUUUAUUCCAGGUUGGACAUAAGUAGUUUGAGCUGGUACUUCUUGAAUUUUGGUAGCCCAAGUAGUCAUUUUCUAACUUAAUAUGAGCUGAGCUGCACCAAGUGGCCUUUCAUAUUACACAAUUAUAGCACUAUGAUUCCACAUUAAAUGAAUGGUAGUGUCCCAUAUAAUCUUACGACUUGUAAUUUAAGGAGGGGAAUUUCUUAGCCAGAGAGCUCUAGUAUCUCCCUAAAUGACAAACCCUUGGAUUCUAAAGAACUCAGUCAUGGCAUUUAAUGUGGAAUCGCAGUGCUAUAAUGGUAUAGUGGGAAAGGGCCGGAUUGGCGAUAUAUAAGUGUGUUUGUACGUAUUCCAGAUGGGAAAUAUGGAGGUCUCUGGUCUUGUAAGAGCAGGGUAAGCACUUUUAAGUGCCACAGCCAUGAUCUGUAAGGCAGGGCAUCUAUUUAUUUAUUUUACUUUGUAUCCAUUUUCCCAUUCAAAUGGCCGAUGUAUGCAAGCCUGUCCACUAAAUACAAUCCUAACAUUAGGAAUGAGGUGAAAGUGAUUUUUUAAAAGGAAGGUGUGAAUACAAUUUGUAGUAAUCAAAAAACCCUACAGGAGGUGUAAAGGGGGUCAAGAGGACUAGUCCAGUCCCAGGUCUGGACUUUGUUAAUUCUUGGUGUACAGGGAGAUAAUGUGUUGAGUUUCCCUUGUUAGACAGACUACAGGUCAGUAAGCAUUAUGUGUUGACUGUCUCUGUGUCCUACUCUUUGGAUUCAUUUUUAUUCAAAUAGUAUAUCUCUAGUCUGAAUUUGUGUAGCUUUUAGUUUGAUCUUGUGCCCUUGCUUUCUUGAAUGUGUCUAUUUUAGGUUCAUUGAGUUUUCCAAAACUAGAACUGGAUGUUCAUUUGUACAUGCAACUGUUGCUUAAAAAUGCCUUGCUUGUAAAAGCUAUAAGAAAGAAGCUGAGAUUGCGUUGCCAGACUUGCACUUUAUUGCUGUGGCAUGCUGCGCCAUGCUGCGCCAUGACAACAGACUGAUAAACAAAUAGAUGUACCUUCCUGCAGUGCGAAACCUGUUUAAAGUUCACUUUAAGUGGCUUUCCCAGCAAGGCAAAAGAAACACCUACAAAGGCUGGGCAUAUUCCCUGUAUGUCAAACCAGUUCUUUCAUCACAAUGGCAUCCUUCUUUGCAAAUAAGUAUGCCUCUCAUAGAGAGAUGAUGAAACCUGUUUAUUUUUCUUUCUCUUACAUUCAACUUUUUUGAAGGUUCAUAUUUAUUCUAUCCAACACAUAAAAAUGUGUAAAUUUGGGAACCUAUUCAAAACUUGAAUGCAACAUUAAACCUUUCCAUUGGUAGUUGCCAACUUUAUUUAUUAAUUAUUUAUUUACAGCAUUUAUAUUCCGCCCUUCUCACCCCGAAGGGGACUCAGGGCGGAUCACAUUGCACACAAAGGCAAACAUUCAAUGCCAUAACAUAGAACAGAGACAGAGACAAGACGCAGGCAUGGGCUGGCCUCGAACUCAUGACCUCUUGGUCAGAGUGAUUUGUUGCAGCUGGCUUGCUAUCCAGCCUGCGCCACAGCCCGGCCUAAAUUCUACACCUAUGCAUGACAUUGAAGAGCGCCAUGUCGCAUUUGCCUUCUGUAUAGAUAUUAAAGUUGUGGAACAUCUGAGGGAAAAUAAAAAAUAGGAGCUUUGAUUGCGUACUGACAUGGCUGAAGAUACAAGGAUUUCUAUCGAAACAGUUUAAGACUUUUUGUGUUAAUCCCUUGGUUUGGGUGAAUGAAUCUAUUCCUUUUGGUUUUUGGCAAGUUCUUUUGAUAAAAGAACAAAAUAAAUAUAUCUCAUCCACCUAUACUGAGGGAGAAAAUUCCUUAAAACUUGGAUAUAUACAUGAAAUUAGAAGUGGCCACUAAAUUAUAUUGCUCACAGUUUCCUCUUAUGUGAAAAGGUAUGCAUUGUUAAUUGCUAGUCAUCAUUUUUAAAGACUAUGAGCCUAGCAGUUGUCACUCCUGGUAGGGGCAAGUGUUUCCCAAUUAAAAAUGGUAUGUUAUAUUUUAAAGAUAGUAAUGAGAGCAUUUCAUGUUGAAAACAGGAUGCUAUGUGUUGUAUAUUUUUAAAGCUAUGAAAAUCUUGGUGCAGGUUAACUGUCCCUUAUCUAGAAUUCUGAAAUCUGAAAUACUCCAGAAUCUGAAAUUGUCCACAUGGGUGGCUGAGAUAGUGACACUACUGAACAAAUUCUGUUUUAUACAUACAAUUAUUAAAAUAUUGUAUACUUUUAGCUUCAGAUUAUGUGUAUAGGGUGUAGAUGAAAAAUAAAUGAAUUUCAUGUUUAGACAUGGGUUCCAUCUCCAUAAUACCUCAUUAUAUAGGUACAGUAGAGCACCCGUCCAUGUGGACCCAACACCAGUAGUUUUAUCUACCUGCAUACAUCAAAAUAUGUUCUUUCUAGGAGUUUUCUAGGUCUUCCAGAGUAUGCUGUUAUUCAUGGUUUCCUGUUUCCAAGAUAAAUUAUGGAAUACAUCCCCUGCAUUCCAGGGGAAUUGCAUUUUAUAUGCAAAUAUAAACAUUUCAAAAUCCAAAAUCCUAACAGUUUGGUCCCAAGCAUUCAGAUAAGGGAUACUUAGCCUGUAACUGAAUAUUCAUAACAGAUGCCAGCAUGAUAUCGACAAGCAAAUGAAGGAAAUAAAAUAAGAAUAAAAAUGAUUUGUGCUUUAUGUGAAGGCACCCUUUCAAAAGAUCAUUAUCACUAUGCUGAAAAAAAAAGCUCCUGUUCCAAAUUAGGGGUGUGAAAAAUUCCGUUGGUUGAUUCAGAUUUCAGAUAAUUUUGGAGAUCCGGCAGCUGAGCCACCAGAAACGGACCAGGAAGGACCCCUUCAAAGUCUUCCUGGAAUGAAAAACAGACCGCCUAAUCUUUUGGCUAAAAAUUCAGGAAAGAUUAAUUGAUCAGGACUUAUUUUUCAUCAGUAUUCUGAAUGUCUGUUUUGCAAGCACAAGCAGCAAUAUCUCCGUGGUGGGGGCGAUGGGGCUGAGUGGCGAGCUGCAUCAUGUUUCUCAGUCAAUCAGAGGGCGGGUUCUGUCCAUUCUCCUCCCCUCUUGUGGCGCAAACUGCUUUGGAAUUCAAAUUCCAGAAAUCCCUGUUGUAGUUUUAAAAAAAGAUAUUGGCAAAAACUUAAACAUUUUCCCCAAAAUCAGAGAAUUAAUAAAACUUUCUGAAACUUGGGGGGCUUAUGUCAUCAAUGUGUCUUACAACAGUGCCAAGUUUAAUCCUGAUAACCAUAAAAAUGAUGGAGAAACCAGCCUCUAAAGUUUCCCCAUUGGCUCCAAUGUACCAAAUCCUACCAAAAAUAAAAUGGAACUCAGGGUUCUGAAUUUACGAAUCCGAACAGUCCCUCUCCUAAUUUCCCAGAAUCUUCCCGAAAAACAACUGGGUGGUGGGGGCCACCCAAAACUGAAAUGAAAAUAGAACUGAUUUCUGCUGUUUCGCACACCCCUAUUCCAAAUGUGUAUCUCUUAUCCCAAGUAACUUGCUUGAGAUACCAAAGGAAUUUACUGCAAAACAUUGUCUGAACUAUUACAACUCAUGAACCACAUAUUUGAUCUUUCAUGUGUUUACUCAGAUACAAUGCCCUGUGAUUUCAGGGGAUCUUUCUCUCAUAUAAUUGUGUACAUAGGAAUAAAAUCCCAGUGCAGUUAAUGGAGCUAUCUUUUAAGUAAGCUUGCAGCAGAUUUCUUGAUCAAAUGAAAUAACUCAAGCCUACUACCUUAGUUCUAUAAACAUCUGUGAUGACAUCUGUCAUCAAGCUGACAAUUGGAUUGUGGUUUAAAGGUCCACCCUUCCUUUUCAAGUGGCAGGGAGAUGCUGCAGUCUCAGCACUUGACUGGGAAAAGGAUAAUUUUGAAUCAUUCAGAGCUGCAAUUGCUUUAAAAAGAGAAAAGAAGAUGGAAACUGACAAAUGGAGUGAAUUUCUUUUAAACACAUAAAUAAAUGUCAACAAGAAUUCUCA